Heterocephalus glaber (naked mole-rat) is the source of this 1901-nucleotide long non-coding RNA. RefSeq lists it as uncharacterized. The record is from RefSeq and is a predicted model, not a curated record. Lineage: Eukaryota; Metazoa; Chordata; Mammalia; Rodentia; Bathyergidae.
CACAGCCUUAGUCCAUAUUAAGGCAAACAUGCUCCUCCUCAUGUGAGGAUGGAAAUUCCCAACAGGACAUAGUCCCCUUAAUCCCACCACAAGACACAGGAAAGUUCCAAUGAAACCUCAAAACCUAAAGCAGAAAGGACCACUCCAGUCAAACAAACUCUUGAGUUUUCUCAUCAACCUACUCCCCACCUGAGCACUGUAACUUCCUUUAACAAAUUUCUUCAUCCUUACUACUUCUGGAUGCUCUGCUCAAUUCCUUGUUCAGGACAGAAAGAGCCACAUUUAUGGGAUAAGACUGACAUGAGCUAUGGUUAACAGGUUCACAUGAUGAAGGAAAGAUAAUAAAAGAAGAAUGGCAUUGACAGAUGCAGUAUUUCAUAACAUCCCAUAAAGUUGCCUCCUGAAAGGAAAAUAAACAUCUAACCAGUUUAUUGUUUCAGGGUCUUCUCAUCAUCUCAUGCGGGCAAGAUGAUUCUACAGACAAAGAAAUCAGAAGAUGGAAAUUCCCUGUAGAGCGUUCAUCUCUACACAUGAGGCCUGAGUUAAUGGUCUCCCUGCACUAGCUCAGGUCCCGCAGAAGCUGAGCCAGGCACCCUCAGGAGCCCCCUACUCAUCACUCUCUCUCCUGCCUGGAUUCUGAUCACUCCCACCUUGCUCUCCAUGAAACCCAACAUCUGAAGAGAACCUGCCUAACAAGAGCAAGCCUGACCAUCCACCAGAGGCCUCUUGCUAAUGGGCCUCUUCUUUCUUCACCUCAAGGUUGGCAGAGGCUAUGCAGCAGGAUGCUGUGUGCCUGUUUCUCCACAUGGAGGCGCUGUGUCCUUGGGUUUGACACCUAAUAAUUGAUUGAAAAGUGUCACACCCUGAGGUCAGGGUUUCCUCCUUUAUCUGUAACAAGCACAACACGAUACUUUGAACCCACUUAUUCCUCAGGCCCACAGAUUUCGAACAACCUGCCCAACUGUGGGGCUGUUUUGUGGGUCCAAGUGGGCUUCAAAGCAAUGAAUGAUAAAAUGAGAGCUGUGAAUCCUUGGGAUCCUCAGACGGGGAACCCUAAGGAAUGGAAAAGGCUGGGUGUGUUUGAAAACAGGACUGUCUCUGUGGCUGGCAGUGAGUCAGAUAUGGCAAUGAGGAGAUCCGUGAUUGGCCUGGAACUCUUUCCUGACUUCAAGAGGAGUUAAUGUCUUUAAUUCUCAAAUGCUGGUGAUACAAAUAGAAACAAAUCAGUUGUCAUUGUGCUGAUACACAGUGAGAACACUUGAAAAAAGUAACUUCUGCAUUUUGGCCCCAGGUUUAUUUUACAUAAGACAAUGAAAAUUAACUGCACUGCCAUUAAUGACAGGUUUUACUUAUUUAAGUUAGAUUGGUAUUCAGUGUUUGUAGUUUACCACACUUUGCUACUCGUACAUGGCUGGGAAAGUGCUGAUUCUGCAUUUUGGUGCUUGUGAAUAGUGCCUCAGUGACCAUCAGAGGGAAAUGUCUCCACAGCAGCCUGGUUCCUUUCCUCCGCACACGUCCCCAGGAGUGAGACUGCUAUCUCAUAGAAUGGUCCUAUUCUUAAUCUCUUGAUAAGUUCUAAAGCUGCCCCCAUAAAGACUAACCUUACCUUCCCAACAACAGCGUUCUCCUUUCUCCAUACUAUUGCCAGAUUCUGUUAUCUUUGCUUUUCUAAUAACAGCCCCUCCAGCAGAAGUGAGUUGAGAAAGAUAAACACUCCCUGCUCUCACUCACAGGCAGAGCUGAAAUAGUUAAUCUCCUAGAAGCAGAGUGCAGGGUGGGGGUUACCAGAGGAUCAGGCAGUGGCUUCUUCAGGGUUGGGAUGACCAAGGUCACAGGUGCAGAGACACAGCCACCCAGGAACCAGGAGUGGACAAGAUGUGUGAUGCAGCAUGGGGACUAUG